Molecule: long non-coding RNA, 2525 nt
Organism: Aethalodelphis obliquidens (Pacific white-sided dolphin)
Lineage: Eukaryota; Metazoa; Chordata; Mammalia; Artiodactyla; Delphinidae
Exons: 3
Source: RefSeq, a predicted model, not a curated record
AUGGCCAGCCUCAGGGAGGGGAUGUGUUCAUUUCUUCUUUUCUGCAGCCAUCCACAGGUGGACAGGGUCAGAUUGUCUCCCUGUGAGCUGAACAGAGACACUUUAGUUUAACUUUCAGGCAGAGGGCCAGGGUUCCCAGAGGCAGGCCAUUCUGUAUGUUUAUAAUAACAAAAGCAAAGGUUAAAGUCAAAGAAACAGAUCGAAUAUGGAGUCUGAUUUAGCUGUCCUUGUUACAAUUAUUCCCGGAUUGAGGCAGGAGACAGAUGGGCCCCAGGCUGAGCCCCUGGAGUUUGCCCCCUGUGGACAAAUACUCCAAGACAAAGUUAAUAGCAGGAGGAUAAUAGGAGAGGCUGAGCCUGCCCAGAUAAGAGAUAAAGAGACCACCUAUUCCUCAUUCUCGAGGUCAAGGAGACCUUCCCAACUGCUCAUGCACAGAGAGGCUCCUUGGAGGUCAAAAGGGGAGUGAUGUCAAUCUACCCACCGGCCUCUUUGCUGGAAUCCAUCUUGGCGAAGAGAUGCGCGCCCACCGGGGAAGAUCCUGAGAUAAACCAAAUAUGGACUCAGAACCAGGCAAAGCAAGAUGAUUGGCCAGAGGAAACCUGGAAGCAAUGCCCCAUAUGAAGAACUAGAGGCUUGGAGAGGUUAAAUUCUGUCCCCUCCACAGCCCACAAGUGGUGCAGCCUUUACAACUCCAGAUGCCGAACCCUUAGUCACAGAAUUGCCCAGCUGCAUGACAUGCUUGAUUCCCAAGAUAGAUUCUGGAAGUAAAAACUGACUCAACAGCCUCCAGAGAACCAAUUGUUACAACCUGCAGUCUUCAGCCACCUAGAAUCCCCUCAAACAGCUCUUGAGUUCCAGCAGCUGUCACCCGCUCUUCUCAGCUGUCCUGCUUCCUGUCCAGGUGGUACCGUAAUGCUUGCACACCUUUGGUCAUCCCAGAUCCUUGACACGUCCCGGGACCUGGCCUCCCUCCUGAUGGCUGUCACCACUUAGUGUUGACAUCUUGGUGGAGCUCCACGUCUGGGUGAAGGAUGCACGCCUGAGCUGACUCCCCAGGCCCCCCACCACGCACCUCUGCCUGCUGUCACUCCACCGAGCUCCCCACCAUCACAUCUGUCAACACAGCUAUGUCAUCCCCAGAAUCCACCUCAUUUCCAGCACUUGCCGGAAACGGGACUCAUCUUUUGACUGUUGAGCAGUGUUCCUUUAAGUUCUAACAAAUAGUUCCCAUCAUUCUGCAGAUUUUCUAUGCAAUUGAAUUCUAACUUUGUUGAAUUCUAAAGAUGACAUUCCUGGCAUCUGAACAAGGCCUGCACCUCUGUUCUCGUGAGUCUUGGGUUCCCACAAGAAAGGAUGAGAUUUGGAGUGCGUAGACAAUGCAAACUUGUGCUCUGUCUUUACUGUUUAAUGGCUGUGUCACAGUGUCACUUAGCUUCCCGGUGCCCCAGUUUCCUUAUCUGUAAAAGACAGGUACUAGCGCUUACUGCUCUGGAUUUUCCUGAGCAUCAGAGGUGCAAACUGCACGAAGACACCCUGUAUACGGUUAUAAUAUUAUCAACAAUAGUAGCAAAGAAUCACAGUGACCAUCUGCUGCCUUCUUUUUCUCCUGUUCUUAGAGCAAACUAGCCUGUGCACAGGGCUGGGUCCAUUUCCUUCCCCAGGAGUGAGGAGUGUGGACUGAAGGUCUGCAUGUAUGGUUCCUCCUCCCCCUCCCCCUCCCCCAAAGCUUUACCUGGACCAGAACCCCUCCAGUGCUCAUGGCCUCUGCAGUUUCCAGAGCAGCAGGUAUGGACACAUCUGCCUUACAGGGCCUGAGGAGAUGGCAAGAAGGGCGAGCCCCUCAGGCCCUGCUCAAAAGUUGCCGACUGUGGUGAGACUGGGGGUGUCCACUCAUAGGCUCAAAUCCCAUCCACUGCAGCUCCCUCUGCCUCUGUCCCUACCCCCAAAUCCACAAGCAGUGGGUGAUACAUAAACAUAGGGAGACAAGAAAAGAAGGAGCCCGCACAUGAUCAUGAUACCCCCAGAGUGGGAUGCUGAAUAACAAAUGUCCCAUUGGGUGACUGUGACAGUUUACGUGUCAACUUGCCUGGGUCACGGGGCACCCAGAUAUUUGGUUACACUUUGCUCUGGGUGUGUCUGUUUGGGUGUUUCUGGAUGCAAUUAACAUUUGAAUUGAGUAAAGCUGACGGCCCUCCCCAGUGUGAGUAGGCCUUAUCCAAUCCACUGAAAGUCUGACUAGAAUGGAAGACCGAGUAAGAAUCCCUUCUCUCUGCCUCAGUGUCUUUAAAGCUGGGACAUCCCAGGACAUCCGUCUUCUCCUGCUUUUGGACUCGGAUUCAGACUGGAACUUACACCAUCAGCUCUCCUGCUUCCCAGGUCUUUGGACUUGGCAUGAAAUUACACUCUACCCUACUCUGCUGGUUCUGGACUUCUCCAUAAUCACGUGAGUCAGUUUCUUUUCUUUUUUUAGUUUUUGGCCACACCAUGUGGCAUGCAGGAUCUUAGUUCCCUGACCAGGGAUCGAA